This 483-nucleotide ribosomal RNA is filed under the name uncultured bacterium. RNAcentral's name for it is "partial 16S ribosomal RNA". It matches the Rfam family "Bacterial small subunit ribosomal RNA", at positions 355 to 832 of the family's 1533-position model. The record is from RNAcentral.
UGGGGAAUUUUGGACAAUGGGCGAAAGCCUGAUCCAGCAAUGCCGCGUGUGUGAAGAAGGCCUUCGGGUUGUAAAGCACUUUUGUCCGGAAAGAAAUCCUUGGCUCUAAUACAGUCGGGGGAUGACGGUACCGGAAGAAUAAGCACCGGCUAACUACGUGCCAGCAGCCGCGGUAAUACGUAGGGUGCAAGCGUUAAUCGGAAUUACUGGGCGUAAAGCGUGCGCAGGCGGUUUGCUAAGACCGAUGUGAAAUCCCCGGGCUCAACCUGGGAACUGCAUUGGUGACUGGCAGGCUAGAGUAUGGCAGAGGGGGGUAGAAUUCCACGUGUAGCAGUGAAAUGCGUAGAGAUGUGGAGGAAUACCGAUGGCGAAGGCAGCCCCCUGGGCAAUACUGCGCUCAUGCACGAAAGCGUGGGGAGCAAACAGGAUUAGAUACCCUGGUAGUCCACGCCCUAAACGAUGUCAACUAGUUGUUGGGGAUUC